UAUCAGCUUCAUGUUGAUCAGUAAAAGUAUUGUGGAGCUUCUUGAAUUAGUACUUCCACUUUUCUUGACAGAUUUACUUUGUAUUCAAACAUGUCACUUCACGUGCGGACUUGAUUCUUUUAUGAGCCAAACACGUGGAAGUUGUUUUUGUUCAUGGGCGACGAUGAGACUUUAACAGGAGUCAAUUAUGUGAUUGUAGUCAGGUUCAAUUUCCACCACCAUCUUUAUGAUGGUCCUACCUAAUGAUCUUAAUGUGUGCAUUGCAUAGUGCAGGUCCGAAUCACAAGUUAUCAAUAUCAAAUCUUUCUCUUCAUCUUCAUACCUGAUCGAAGAAAUUCCAACUAAUUUUAUUCUCUUUUCUACUUCUUCUUCCAAAUCCCUUUUCCCUGAUGAAAAUGAGAAUGGGAACCUCACUGUUCGAUUUCCAUAAGUUACCUUAACGCAUA
RNAcentral lists this long non-coding RNA (446 nucleotides) under Nicotiana benthamiana. RNAcentral's name for it is "long non-coding RNA (NBEN_LNC021627)". Lineage: Eukaryota; Viridiplantae; Streptophyta; Magnoliopsida; Solanales; Solanaceae. The record is from RNAcentral.